GACGAAGGGGGCUAGCGUUGUUCGGAAUUACUGGGCGUAAAGCGUGUGUAGGUGGUUGUCCAAGUUGGAUGUGAAAGCCUUGAGCUCAACUCAAGAAAUGCAUUCAGGACUGGGCGGCUAGAGGACCGGAGAGGAUAGUGGAAUUCCCAGUGUAGUGGUGAAAUACGUAGAGAUUGGGAAGAACACCAGUGGCGAAGGCGGCUAUCUGGACGGUUUCUGACACUAAGACUCGAAAGCGUGGGGAGCAAACAGG
RNAcentral lists this ribosomal RNA (253 nucleotides) under uncultured bacterium. RNAcentral's name for it is "partial 16S ribosomal RNA". It matches the Rfam family "Bacterial small subunit ribosomal RNA", at positions 524 to 776 of the family's 1533-position model. The record is from RNAcentral.